Non-coding RNA from Ovis aries (sheep), 73 nucleotides. NCBI's taxonomy places the organism in Eukaryota, Metazoa, Chordata, Mammalia, Artiodactyla, Bovidae. The record is from Rfam.
UCCCUGGUGGCUCAGAUGGUAAAGGCGUCUGCCUGCAACUCAGGAGACCCGGGUUUGAUCCCUGGGUUGGGAA